UCCCGCCCCCAGCCCCUCGCUCAGGCUUCGGGAGCUGUCGGCUGCGCGCAGCGCGGGCUCUCCGGCCACUUCCCCUCCCCCCAUCCCGGCCGUGGCCUCGCGCAGUCCUCGGGCGUCGCUUCUGCAGGUAGGUCCCCAGGUGAGGACGGGAAACUGGCCGCGGGCCCCGCGAGAAAUGGAGUCCAGGAGGGGGCGGGCGUCAUGAGGCCGCCAGGGCAGGUCUGGCCUCUACCGCCACCCUCACUCCCACCUCCAUUCCGGUACCCGCAGCUGGCCUCCGGCUGUGGGCCGGAUAAAGUGGGGGGUUACCCUGGGGACGUACUGUUGGAGAAAUACGGUACGGUGUUUCUGCCUAGCGAUCACGGUUACCUUCGGGAAAGUGCAUGCUCGCUGCGCUGCCUCGGAGCCUCCCAGCCUCCAGGACGGCCUAGGGCGUCUGACUCCUGACUCGAAUCAGUGACACCCCCAGGUCUGGGCCACCUUCCUGAGGACCGACCUGUGCUUCACUCUCAGGCUGCUGUGGUCCGCAGCAGUCCCGGGACGCUUUGGCACUCCGCGCGGAGGUGGGAAGAGCAAGGCCCAGAGGAACUUAACCAAGAGGUGGCAGUGAGCCGACGGUGCCACGCACCCUGCUAACGCCCUUUAACUCACACUCCUGUUGGAUCCUCAGCCUACAGAUGAAGACAUGGACUGUGAGGGGCCACGGGUCCUCCCCGGGUGACUCGGCUGAAAAGAAAGUUGAGGCCAGAGAGGUGGACAAUUCACCCAAGGUCACACAGCAAAUGCACUGGCAAAGACAAAAAGAGAACUGAGACCUAUCUCGCUCCAGAGACUUCUCUUCUCCCAUCCCAGGCUGUGGAGCUUGGCCUCAGGACAGCGUCCCCACUGUCGCUUCACCCUGCCGCUCCUCCCAGGCCACCUGUACCCUUCCCUGCCACUCAGAGAGGAUCUCCCUGUCAGGAGUCAGGAUGGAGCCAGAACGGCUGGAUGCAGCAGAGGCGGACCCGCACCUCAGACCUCACAACAGCCUGUAGUCCUGGGACCAGCAGUCCUCACAAGACCACCAGCACUCUCGGUGCUGCAUCUACCCCACCUCCGUGUACCCAGGAAGGGGGAAGCAUCAUCAUCCAAGCUGGCUGCUGGCCUAGCAAGUCAGUGGAGAAGGGAAGCUUCCUCUGGGAGGCGCUCGGCAACCCUGCAUGGGAUACAACUUAAUGGCCCACUGGUUGGAAACAGCAGGAGUCCCCUGGGCAAAAGUCAAGUGGGCAAGGGGAAGGCAGGAAGUAUGCCCAGCGCUGUGCUAAUCUAUUUUAAUUUUUUUUAAUGUUUAUUUAUUUUUGAGAGAGAGAGAGAGCAACAGAGCAUGAGUGGGAGGGGGAGAGAGGAAAGGACACAGAAUCUGAAGCAGGCUCCAGGCUCUGAGCUGUCAGCCCUGAGCCCGAUGCGGGGCUCGAACCCACAAACCGUGAGAUCAUGACCUGAGCUGAAGUCGGAAGCUUAACCGACUGAGCCACCCAGGGGCCCCUGUGCUAAUCUCUUUAAACAGGUGACUUUAUUUAACCCCCAUAGCCCCCCUCCUACUUGGUCCAUGCUACAGAUGGGAAAACAGAGGCAUGGAGAAGUCACUUACUAGAAAUCACGCAGCCCAGCCGGCAGGAGGUGGUGCCCAGGUUCCGGAAAAUAACAAGGUCAUGGGAAUUUGGGAGGUGUCUGUUGCUUCCUGGAGAAGGCUUUGAAACCCUGGGAAGGGGCAGUAGGAGAAGGGUCUGGAGAGAGGGUCCCCUAGCAAGGUGUCAGGUGGGAGCCUGGAGGGGGUGGGUCAGGGCAUCGGACCUCACACAAUUCCCAGGGCAGGAGACAGAUGAAGCCCAGCUCCAGCAGUGACACCUGGCAUUCACCUCUUCAGCAUCUUCUGUCACUCAGUCCUUACUGUCCUUACCCCCACACCUUUGGACCAUCCCACUGCACCUAGGCCUAGGGGAUCUUGCAUGGCUCUGGAGGUCCAAGUAGUGACCAGCAGCCAAGUGGGCACAGGCCUGGGGUUGAGCCAAGCUUCCAGCCCACUGUUGGGAGGGGGGAGGCCCAGGACAAAGAUGUGACACUGGCUCCGAGACUAGCAGCGUUGUAAAUAAGAGAGGAAUCCAUUUUGCACCCACCUACCAGGCCAGACUUCUGCCUGCCAGGCUCCUUCCCCGCAGGGCCUUGCCCUCUCCCACAUGACGACUCACAGCUACACAUGGGCUCUAGCCCGUGGGAAGGGGAAAGGAAAAGGGGAGGGAUGCCUCUGCCCUUUAAGGCCACCACGCAGAAGGAGCCACUGUCACUGGGAGAAAACAAGGUUGGGGUGUGAGCUGUGUGGCCGGGUUUGUGUCUGUCUGCCAGUGGGGCUGGGAAGCCAGACACCUGCAGUCCUGUCCUGUCUCCAGCUGCAGAGAUCAGAGCAAGUCACUAUAUAUACUCUGUGGGACUGUUUUCCCCUCUGCACCAAACGUUUGGCCAAAAUAGCCUCUGAGGGGUCCUCAGUGGAAGACUCUGAACCAAUAGUCUCUCGAGGCCAUUGAGGCACAGUCUUGGGGAAGGAAAGGUGAAAUCAGUCUGUGGGUGGCUCCCUCGACUGUACUGGGAGGCCGGGGGCAAGCAAUGCACCCCAGGCCAUUGACACAGCCCCCGAGCUCCCAAGCUUUCUUGGAAAAGCUUCUAUGAACUGCUGCUAAUACGUCAGGUAACUUGUUUAUUAAGUGCUUGUUAUACACCAGGCUUGGAGCUAAGGGCUAGCAUUUAUGAGUGUUUUCUAUAUGCUGGGCAUUAUUUUAAGUGCUUUACAACUUCCACUUCGCUUAAGCCACACAACUUCUCUGUGAUGCAGGCGCUGUUGUUAUCACCACGGGAAUAGCAAACCUGUAAAACAAGAACCAACCACUAUGAAAAAGGAGCAUUCAGAGAACAGGAAAGAACAUUCGAAAACGUAAGCGUUCACAGUAAUUAUGAAAACCCAACCAAGACUGAAUAGCAGAAUGGACACACCUGAGAACCAAAUCAGAGCAACAGACAGAAAUUAUGAGAGAAAAAUGCCAGAACCACGGUUCAAUGGAAGGAAUUGAAUUCACAUGCAGAAACGAAGAUGGAUCAAAAUCACCUUCCCAGUGAAAUCCGGCCCCUCCUCGCUCUGGCAGAGAGAUGUUGAUGGAUAACAGGGAGUUGGUGCCUAUCCUGGUAGUCCGGGAAGUCGCUAGCUAUCUUGGGCCCCAAGCAAACCACAGGGAACCAGUGGGGCUGGGAAGUGACCACUGAUUGGCACCCACAGGGCAGGCUUCACAGGUAAGCAGGGGGGUCUGUGUCAGAAUCUUGGACUUACACGAAGAUACCGAGAGCACUGGGCGAGCACCACGCCAGCCUGACAAUAGCCACCUGUCAGAUUCAGGGAGGAAUUCCUUGUCAUUUCAAAACACAACAAGGAAAACAGUGACCCAAGUGGGAAAAAGACGUAAACAGAAUGCGCAAAUGGCCAGUGCGUGCACAGGGAAAUUUCUAACGUCACCACUGAUCAAAAGAACACAAAUGAAAACGUGCCGUCUUCAUCCAACUGACAAGGAUAUUUUAAGUUAUAACACUGUUGGGAAGAGGUACAUUUCCAGAAAGCAACCUUGCAAUAUAGACAUCACUUUUCAGUCUGUAAGUCUGCUUUUAGGAACUGAUCACAAAGAAGUGAUCGGAUUUGUCAGCAGAUUUCUAUACAAGCUUGUUCUUCCCAAUGUUGCUUCCAGCUGAGAAAAAUUAGAAACCACUGAAUGAAUGUCCAGCCAAAGGAAAGUGAUAAUGAACAA
This is a long non-coding RNA of Acinonyx jubatus (cheetah), 3824 nucleotides long. RefSeq lists it as uncharacterized. Lineage: Eukaryota; Metazoa; Chordata; Mammalia; Carnivora; Felidae. The record is from RefSeq and is a predicted model, not a curated record. The transcript has 3 exons.